RNAcentral lists this unclassified non-coding RNA (1388 nucleotides) under Hevea brasiliensis (rubber tree). Lineage: Eukaryota; Viridiplantae; Streptophyta; Magnoliopsida; Malpighiales; Euphorbiaceae. The record is from RNAcentral.
GGUACAUCAGUAUAGGCGAAUUUACUGGCAUGGAAAUAUUUUUAGGUGAGGAACAUGUCAAAAGAGCCUACACAUAUAUUUAAGAAACCUCAGCAAGCAUUACUCUCUGAAGAGCCUGAACUAGUAACAUUUAGGUUUUCCAUAAGAGUUGCACUUACCAUCUUAUGCAUAUUUCAGGAUAUAAAUGCACUGUACCAAAAUGAAUCUAUACACAACACCUAAAACCCCCACUAGACCACCCAUGUCUAGCUAGCUAGUUUAGGCAUUCCAGCUGCAGCUUGAAGGAAGAUUAUUGACAUUAUUAUUAUUAGGGUUUGCACCAAAUUGACCACUUGAGAAUGCUGAUAGUGAUGAGGAUGAUGAAGAUGAUGGCAGUGAUGACAUGAUUGCAUCAAUGUAUUCCAUCUGAUUUGUAGGCACUUCAUGUGGAUUAUAAGACCCUGAAGGAAAACAUGGAAGUCUAGCAAUUGGAUCAGUUAGUACUUCUUGUAAGGCAGCAGACGAUGAUGACGAUGAUUGGAUAUUGCAGCAAACACUUCCUUCAAUGAUCUCAGACAGCUUUGGCAUCAUAGGCAACAUGCCUUGAUUCUCAUAAUUAGGCAUUAUUGCAAUAGCUUGGUCCUGACUAAAUUUGUGAUCUCCAGUAUAAUGUGGACCUGUGCCAUUGCUCAAAAUUUGAUCUUCUUGAUGACUUGGAUCAAGGUGCUGAGGUGGAUAAGGCAAUGCCCACAUUGGAUCUAAGGAAGAUGAACUAUUAUUUAGUGGUGAUGGGAUUAUUGAGGGCGUGAAAUUGGCUAAAUCAAGAUUGUAAUUAUUGGAUUGGUUGAAUUUGACAUCUCCUUGGCCAAAACUUUGCAGCAUUGAAGCUGGGGAAGGAAGGUAGUGCUGGUCUUGUUGAGCAGUACUGAGGAUGAGAUUAGGAUUUCCAGUGAGAGAGAAGAAAGCUUCCUCAGAACCACCACUUGGGUUGUGAACAUCAGCGAAGGUGGCUAAACCAGGAACAUCAUGACAGAUAAGCUUCUUCUUUAUGCUUGAAUUCCAGAAGUUCUUCACUUCAUUAUCUGUUCUUCCUGGUAGAUGCUUAGCUAUCUGUGCCCAUCUGUUGCCUAAAAUACUAUGGAGUUCAACAAUGAGAGCUGCUUCUUGAGGAGAGAAGCUUCCACGUUUUAGGUCAGGUCGAAGAUAAUUUAUCCAUCUUAAUCUGCAGCUCUUUCCACAUCUCUGCAACCCAGCAUGUUUAGGAAUUGAGCUCCAGCAACCAUGGCCAUAGGUUGAAAUGUAGUUGAUGAGUUUCUCAUCUUCUUCUGGUGACCACAGUCCUCUCUUAACUUUCUGUUUGUUGCAGCAUGAGUGAUGACCCAUCACUCUCCCUCCCUCUCUCUCUCUCU